UAAUAAGUGUUUUAUGGCACUUUUUAAAUCCAUAUCCACCUUGUGUGCAAUGUCGGUCGAUCUUCUUUUUUUGGGGAUCGACCAAACAUCAACCUUUAUUUUUUAACUCUUUGUCUGAAAAAUAUUAUGAAUAAACAAUUCAAAAUA
This 147-nucleotide unclassified non-coding RNA is filed under the name soil metagenome. Its description in RNAcentral is "partial internal transcribed spacer 1". The record is from RNAcentral.